UUAAUGCUGGUAGUAAGAGGCAGUCAUUGAAAUGAACGCCAGAAUAUGUAUUUUUAACAUUGUUUCAUAAAUCAGAGGCCUGAAGGCAUUUUGUUCAAACUUUCCCAGAGUUGUCACCUUCAAAUAGAAACAAGCAUUGAUAAUUUAAAAAUAAAAGAUCUGUGGUUUAGAAAAUCUUGAGGAAGGACUUCCAAGUUUUGCUCAUGAGAGGAUGCUAAAACAUCAGAAAUCAGUUUAGGAGGGCUGUAUAACAAAAUUAAUCUUCAGUGUAAUGCCUACAUUAAAUGCAAUGUCUCAAGCAAGGACUUCCUUUGAAAAGUCUUCUACAAAUUCUUUGCAGGUUAUAUGUGACCUUUUGGAGUCCUCUGGGAAGCCCUGGCUCAGAGCACGUGGAAAUAUAGCUUUCUUUUGAAAGAUGAAGAACAGGAGAAAUUAGUUCAACAAUGUCUUUGAAGUAAGACCUGGAAUUUAUCAUAGUAAGUCGGGGAUGACUCCUGUGCUCCCUUGUAUCUCUAUCCAUCUAUAUUUUCCCUCCUUAUACUAGUAUCGUAAGCCCUCCUGGGGCAUGAAGUAGGUUUUAUUCUCUGUGAUGGGAACUGUUGUUGUGAUACUGUAGUGCAGACAGGAAAAUAUUUUCCUUAUUACAAGGCAGAAACAUGCUUUUUCUCCUUUACCCAACACUACCCUGUGGCCAGUAGACAACUCCCCAAAUCCAUGGAAGCAGAGGCAUUUCUGGGGUAGCCUUCCCUGCUCAAGUGAUGAUUAGAAAACAGAUAAAGUCAGACAGACAGCAGUAAUACUCCUGAGGGAGAGACCAAAAAGUAAAUUCAACUGAACAAAUAAAUCUCCCGACUUACGGUAAUGACUUAGGAGG
RNAcentral lists this long non-coding RNA (874 nucleotides) under Anser brachyrhynchus (Pink-footed goose). RNAcentral's name for it is "lncRNA (ENSABRG00000001677.1)". Lineage: Eukaryota; Metazoa; Chordata; Aves; Anseriformes; Anatidae. The record is from RNAcentral.